UCACAGCAGGAAGAUUGGCCUCUUUACAUUGGAAGACCUCUGGCUGUGGUGUUUGCAUUUCAGAGCCUUUCCACCUGUUUUUGAUAAGCUGGGUGAAAUUGCUCAGCAAGUAACAUGACUUUGACAAAACACUAAAUCUUUUGGCCAAUGUUGCUCAGAAGAUGAGAGGAGAGAGGAACGGGGCAGAAGUUCACAUUCAAGAAGGCAAUAUGAAACUACCUAUAGACAUCAAAUGGGAUCAAGGACCAUUGUACUUUCAUACUGGUGUCCUUUUGUGAAGCAUUUAAAAUCAAAAUACUCUGGACACAUAAAGGAAGCAGAUUUACAUCUUCCUAGAAAGAAGAACAGAAGUGACCAGUCACUGUUGCCAGGAGCAUUCUGCCUUUUUCAGAAGAACUUCUCAAGGAGCCCAGGUACUCUCAUUUGAGUCCUUCAGCACAGAUUCCAUGUCCCACACAAA
Long non-coding RNA from Melospiza melodia melodia, 460 nucleotides. RefSeq lists it as uncharacterized. The transcript has 3 exons. Lineage: Eukaryota; Metazoa; Chordata; Aves; Passeriformes; Passerellidae. The record is from RefSeq and is a predicted model, not a curated record.